UCAGAGGCGAGUUGACUGUUUUUAGU
Molecule: non-coding RNA, 26 nt
Filed under: Homo sapiens (human)
Lineage: Eukaryota; Metazoa; Chordata; Mammalia; Primates; Hominidae
Source: RNAcentral